This 450-nucleotide ribosomal RNA is filed under the name uncultured bacterium. RNAcentral describes it as "partial 16S ribosomal RNA". It matches the Rfam family "Bacterial small subunit ribosomal RNA", at positions 354 to 796 of the family's 1533-position model. The record is from RNAcentral.
GUGGGGAAUUUUGGACAAUGGGCGCAAGCCUGAUCCAGCAAUGCCGCGUGCAGGAAGAAGGCCUUCGGGUUGUAAACUGCUUUUGUACGGAACGAAACGGUCCGGGUUAAUACCCUGGGCUAAUGACGGUACCGUAAGAAUAAGCACCGGCUAACUACGUGCCAGCAGCCGCGGUAAUACGUAGGGUGCAAGCGUUAAUCGGAAUUACUGGGCGUAAAGCGUGCGCAGGCGGUUUUGUAAGACAGGCGUGAAAUCCCCGGGCUCAACCUGGGAAUUGCGCUUGUGACUGCAUUGCUGGAGUGCGGCAGAGGGGGAUGGAAUUCCGCGUGUAGCAGUGAAAUGCGUGGAUAUGCGGAGGAACACCGAUGGCGAAGGCAAUCCCCUGGGCCUGCACUGACGCUCAUGCACGAAAGCGUGGGGAGCAAACAGGAUUAGAAACCCGAGUAGUCC